This 497-nucleotide ribosomal RNA is filed under the name uncultured bacterium. RNAcentral describes it as "partial 16S ribosomal RNA". It matches the Rfam family "Bacterial small subunit ribosomal RNA", at positions 38 to 507 of the family's 1533-position model. The record is from RNAcentral.
GGGGGGGGGGGGGGGGGGGGGGGGGGGGGGGAGGGGGGGCGGGGGGGGGGGGAGGGUGCGUCGCGGAUGUUAGCGGCGGACGGGGGAGUAACGCGUGGAUAACCUACCUAUAAGACUGGGAGAACUUCGGGAAACCGGAGCUAAUACCGGAUAAUAUUUUGAACCGCAUGGUUCAAAAGUAAAAGACGGUCUUGCUGUCACUUAUAGAUGGAUCCGCGCUGCAUUAGCUAGUUGGUAAGGUAACGGCUUACCAAGGCAACGAUGCAUAGCCGACCUGAGAGGGUGAUCGGCCACACUGGAACUGAGACACGGUCCAGACUCCUACGGGAGGCAGCAGUAGGGAAUCUUCCGCAAUGGGCGAAAGCCUGACGGAGCAACGCCGCGUGAGUGAUGAAGGUCUUCGGAUCGUAAAACUCUGUUAUUAGGGAAGAACAUAUGUGUAAGUAACUGUGCACAUCUUGACGGUACCUAAUCAGAAAGCCACGGCUAACUACGUG